This 298-nucleotide ribosomal RNA is filed under the name Paenalicyclobacillus cycloheptanicus. RNAcentral describes it as "Alicyclobacillus cycloheptanicus partial 16S ribosomal RNA". It matches the Rfam family "Bacterial small subunit ribosomal RNA", at positions 1 to 305 of the family's 1533-position model. Lineage: Bacteria; Bacillati; Bacillota; Bacilli; Caryophanales; Alicyclobacillaceae. The record is from RNAcentral.
CUUUUUGAGAGUUUGAUCCUGGCUCAGGACGAACGCUGGCGGCGUGCCUAAUACAUGCAAGUCGAGCGGACCCUUCGGGGUCAGCGGCGGACGGGUGAGUAACACGUGGGUAAUCUGCCCAACUGACCGGAAUAACGCCUGGAAACGGGUGCUAAUGCCGGAUAGGCAGCGAGCAGGCAUCUGCUCGCUGGGAAAGGUGCAAAUGCACCGCAGAUGGAGGAGCCCGCGGCGCAUUAGCUGGUUGGUGGGGUAACGGCUCACCAAGGCGACGAUGCGUAGCCGACCUGAGAGGGUGGAC